UACUUUCUUGAUAUGUGUGUUGUGAAUCAUUUCUCCCAGUCUGUGGCUUGACUUUAUAUCUUAUUAGUGGUGUCUUUUCAAAAAUCAAUUUUUUUUAUUUUUAUGAAAUCCAAUUUGUCAAUUGUUUUCUCCAUGUUUCAUGCAUUUUCCUUCUAAAAUAUUUCUCCCAUCUCUAGUUUGCAAAGAUAUUUGUCUAUAUUUUCUUCUAGAAGUUUUACAAUCUCAGAUUUUGCAUUUAAUGUCUAUGAUUCAUUUUAAUAUACUUUUUGAAUGUGGGGUGAUGUAAGGAUAGAUGUUAAUUUUGUUUCCACAUGAGUAUUUAGUUGACCUUGGACCUUUCUUUGAAGACUUUAUUUCUCCCAUUAUAUUGCCUUCCUUAGCACUUCUGUCAAAAACUCAUUGAUCAAGUACUUGUGGCUCUAUUUCUGGACUCUGUUCUGAUCUGAACUAUAUGGGUGUGCUUUCACCAAAACCAUACUGUCUUUGUUACUGUAGCUUUGUCGCCUGGCCCGCGGGCAUCCUUCUGACCAUAUGGAAGAAGAUAACCCCUGAAUACCUUGUGCCAAAGAAGAUGGAGUGUCCAUCAGUCUGUCACUCCAUGGAAGAGGACCACUCUACUGAUCUGUCUACCCAUCUGAUACCAUCACGGGAGCAAGAAAGAAGUUUCUACUACCUGUGAGACUUCAUACAUUUAGGGAAUUAGAUUCCUCUAAACCAUAGACUCUGAAAGCAGUUCCUGGAAAAAAACUUAGAACAUAUGUGGAAAAACUUUCAAGUCAUGCUGGCAACACUGACAUUCUUGUGGGAAAGCAGAGUGGUAGUUAUGAGUAUGAGUUUUGCAAUCAGAUAGGCCUGAGUAAGAGCCUGUGUUCACUACCUUGUAGAUAUAUGGUACUGAUCAAGUUUCUGUAAGUGUAAGUUUAUUGUUUGUUUGUUUGGUUUUAGACAGAGUCUUGCUCUGUCUCCCAAGCUGGAAUGCAGUAAUGCAAUCUCAGCUCACUGCAACCUCUGCCUCCUGGGUUCAAGUCAUUCUCCUGCCUCAGCCUCCCAAGUAGCUGGGAUUAUAGGUGCAAACCACUACGCCCAGCUAAUUUUUGUAUUUUUAGUAGAAAUGGGAUUUCACCAUGUUGGCCAGGCUGGUCUCAAACUCCUUAUCUCAGGUGAUCCACCUGCCUCGGCCUCCCAAAGUACUGUGAUUAUGGGUGUGACACCGUACCCGGCCUCAGAUUUUUUCCUAAAUGUACAAUAUUGGGAUAUUACUGCAAUAGAAUCUAUUUCAUAAUAUUGCUCAUUGUCACAGUGCCUAGCUGAUACUAAGUGCUCAAGAAAAGUUAGCUUUCAGACUAAGUAUCUUCCCAGAUAACUUUUAAAACUUAAAUUGCCAUAAUCUUAGUGCUGUUCCUGAAGUAUUUCUGGUUUUCCUUCCAGGAAGAGGGCGGGAUUACAUUUUCCUUCCCACCCUUAGAGUUAUAUUUACCUACAUGAUUCAUUUUGACCAAUGAAAUGUGAGUAGAAAUGGCAUGUUUCAUUUGCAGGUAGAAGUGUUAAGAGUCAGCAUGCAUUUCAAAUGCUAUAUUUUUCUCCACCACAGCAGUGGCAAUGUUCCAGCUAGUGGCUGCUCUGUCAGGUUGAGUCCUAAAGUGAGGAAAAACCAGUCAACACAUGAUAUACAUGUGGCAUGGCCAAGAAAUAAAUUCUUGCUGUUUGAAGCAACUAGAGAUUUGGAGUGUAUUUGUUACUAGCCCACCUGACCUAAACAGGAACAAAUACUCAUAUAGGCAAGUUCAUGUGAAAACCAGUUUUGUUAUUUUAUAGCAGCCUCUAAUAAUAAUGGCUGACAAGUGUUGAGCUCUCACGAUAUUCCAAGAACUUCUAUAAGCUUUACAUGUGUUAACUCAUCCACUUUCACAAUAACUCGGUGAGAUAACCUGCAGUAUCUUUAUCCCCACUUCAUAGGGACAGAAAGGUUAAGUAACUUGCCCAAGGCUACAUAACCAGUAUGUGAUAGAAGCAAGUUUCAAGCCAAUGUAUCUGUCUCUUGGACUGUGCUAUUAACCUUCAUUACAUUACCUACCGUAGUGGAUGCUAUAGUGUACCUGGUAGAUCCCAGCUUCAGGACUGAGGCUGAGGCUCUCAUUUCCCUUUUUUUUUUUUUUUUUGAGAUGGAGUUUCACUCUUGGGGAGUGAAGCUCUCAUUUCUUCAGCUAUCAGAAACAUUGGUUGACAGUGGUUCAGAGCUUAGCCCCUCCUUGGGAAUCACCCUCAGGCAAAAAGAGCUGCCUCACCCAAAGUGAGGCCCCUUUCCUGUGGGAUUGAUAGGGAUUCUGUUGCAGCUGCAUCACAGUUCAACUUCUCCCUCUGCCCUGCUUUCCUCACUCAAGUUCUCAAAAGUAUUCCUCAAUAAACUUUCCUCAUGUAAAUCUCAGGGUCUCAGAGUAUGUUUCCAAAGAGCCCAGAACAACAAUACCUCCCUAGAUAUUCCUACAUGUGUACUGAAACAUACACAGACUCUAUAUGAACUCCGUUCGCAAUUAAUUGACAAAUGACGGUCAUAGACCAUGGAGUUGAGAGAAUGUGAAGAUCACUGGGCUGUCUGGAGAAGGUUUGGAAUGAUGAGCCUCUCACAAGUUAAUGGAGAUACAGAAUCUUCUACUUUCUCAGUUGAAUUCAGUGCAGUUCAUUUCUCAUAAAUGUCAUCUGUGGUUGUCUAGAUCCAGAAAAAAGUCAAAGAAAGAAUCACAUAUUUUGUAUAUAACAAAUGAUAGCUGGUCUUUAUUAUGACAUAUAUUCAUUCUUGUAAGUAGAAAUGGGAACUCUCCAUCUCUUUCAUGAAGACAGAUGUCUCCAGAGACUGGAAGCCAUGUAUCUUUAUUUUACCAAAUGUCAUAUAUCUCUGUUUUAGUUAUACAUAAAAAAGCUAUUGAAAACUGAUGUCUUAAAUUGAUUUCUAAGAAACGAUAAGUAGAACCUAAAAUUUAAUUCAUAACCCAUCAGCUCUCUCUUGGACAUCUUAGGUAACUUGACACCUACUUCUAGUAAAAUUUAAAAUCACCCAAGUUCUAGUUCUAAUGCAUUUCUUUUACUGUAAUUGAAUAUUUUUCACAAUUUAAACUAUCCCAAUAUCAGUUGUCUACAUUUUCUCAAAGGAGAAAUAGAUGUUAUAAAAUUUGAAAUAAAUCAGCAGAAUUAUAGAGGCAGUAACAAAAUAUAUCAAAUAUAAAACUAAAGGAAUCUAAAUGGAUCUGUGGAAUUUAAAAUAAACAUUACUAACUACUUUACAUUGAUAUAUGCAUGUCUUAUACAUUGUACAUUCUGCUUACGUAUCUUCACCAUACAUUGAAGUAAAUUAAUGGCCAAUGUUAUACAGAGUUCAGG
Papio anubis (olive baboon) is the source of this 3375-nucleotide long non-coding RNA. Lineage: Eukaryota; Metazoa; Chordata; Mammalia; Primates; Cercopithecidae. The record is from Ensembl.